UUUCUCUCUCUCUCAUGAUGAAACGACCACCCAAUUUUCUCACUAGAGUUCUAACUAUUUUUUACCUUUUUCUUCUAAAGCAUCCACAAGAUCACCUUCUAUUCUCUAUUGUUUCAAGUAUAUUGGAAAAUUCUUCAAAGGGAGUAAACUGAAUACCACACUCUUCCAAAGAUUAAGAGAAGGUUAUAAAAAUAGUAAUUGAAGGAGAAUAAUGGAUUUAGAUACCCAAGGUAAGGGAACUGCCAUAACCUUAAAUUAUUAGUUUAUUGAGAAUUAUAUACUUACUUUUUUGUUGGAACUCAUUGGAUGGUAAUUUAAAACCAUUAAUUCAAGUAUUUUGAUUAUUUUUUUUAGUGUUGAUGACUUUUAUGGUACUAAUUUGUGUAUGUGUCAUGAAGGUACUUGGAGAAUGACUGCGGAAAGGUGUAGUGGGACGUUUUAUAAUCUAUGGUGAUGCGCAAUUAAUUUAAAGCCUUGGUAAACUCAUUUCUUGUUCCAUGGGAAGGUUGUUUUGUGGAAAUUACAAUAACAAACAGAAAUUGUGAAAGAAAAUAAUUAAUAUGAAAGAUUAUUGGCUGGGUACUAUUUUGAUGAGUUGAAAUAUCCCGAGUUGGUUGGUAAGCUGUUACUGUUAGCCUUAAUGAUUAGUUGUUAUACAUGAAGACAAUGACGUUAAAGGAAAGGCUAACAGUCUGUGAACUAUAAGAAUUGCUUGAGGUAUGUAAGGUUAUUAGAUAUCCUGUUUCUUUGGCAUGAAUUGAAAACUUGCAUUACAAAAAAUAAUCUUUCUAAGUGCCCUUGGUAGUGACUGAUUCAUAGUCACAGUUCCUACUCCCUAGACCAUUAAACUGAACACUCUAAUAUGAGUUUGUUACUAAAUUUACUUGUUUACUCUAGCUUGUGAUCAUUGUCAAAAUACCCUUGGAAUAUAUUUCUCUUAUAUAAAUCAACAUAAUUCUAUAUUACACAUGUUACAUGUGUUUAUAUCAUAUGUUCCCUUUAUUGGUUGUUACUCCCAUUUCGUUAGACUAUAAUGUUACCUCCCAAGAUCCCUAUUUUCUCUUUUGUACACUUAAUAUUCACUUACUUGGGAUAUGUAUCCGUCCUUAAGUUGAAUCUACACACGUUCCCCCUUGUUUCCACUUUCAUGAACACCUAGUAUUUGAUAUUAGUAAGUAUCAAAUAGAGUUAAAAUCUAUUGAUUGUUUCUUAAAUGUCCUCACUUGAUAUGCUUCAACUUGAGAUGUAAAAAUGCUUAUCGAGUCAUAUAAGCUCCUAAGUAUUACUGUGGUGUCAUAUUUGCUUCCCAUGUCAUUUUUAUUAUCGUAAGUUCAUAGUAAUGUAUUUUCUACUACUCGUCCAAAGGUCCAAUUCUAAUAAUGAUUAUGACCGUGAAAAUGACAAUCUCAAAAAGAGUUACGAUUAUCAAUAAUAGAACAAUCUCAAAAAAGUUAUAAACAUCAAAACAGCAAUUUCAAAGAUUAAAUAAUCUAAGAGAAGAAAUCUAUGAACUUGUGGGUUGCAACCCAGGGGGAAAUGCCCAGCAUGGGUCGAUCCAAAUAAGUAUUGAAGGGUGGGAGAUCUGGAGAAAAAGCCUAGAAUGGUCUGAUCACAAUUGGUAUAAGAGGGUGGCAGCUCAAGGGAGAAAGCCUAGCAUAGGUCGAUCCUAAUUUGUAGAAUUACGAGGAAAACAUGUCAAAGGUUAAAAUGCCUAGAAUGAGUCAUCCUAUAUUACCACUUAUUUGAAUCAUAUGUCUUAUAAAAAUUAUAACCCAUAGAAUAGUAAAGAAAAUAAUGUAAUAUAUAUGAUUCCACAAGUAUAACCAAAGGUGGUCUCAAAUCCUUAUCUAUUGGUAGUUGGUUCCACUUGAGAUCUAAUUUUACAUAUGGUUGUGUUAUGUCUUACAUAUACAUUACUUUCUUUCAUACUGACAUUCCUUAUUAGGGACACUGCAUUUCAUGAUUAAAGUACAAGUACUCAACUAGUAAAUCUUCCAAAUAGAAGCACAUUAUACUCCACGGUUGUUGAUGAGCUCCAGGUUGAUGCAGGGCUUUGCCGAGUCUUUAUUAUGCAUAUUUCACAGUCUUACAAUUAUGGAUCCAAGUAGAGGCUUUCUAGGCAUUGUAAAUUGUUAUUUGUAUUCAUAGCUUCACUUGUCACAUGUAUCGAUUCAGCUAGUCAACAUGCGUUGUAUAUUAAGUUUCUCAUUAGUAAAUAUAUCUCCAUAGUAGUAGUUUACUUUCUGAUCAUAGGUUACUCAUUAAAUAUUUAUUCAUAUAUUAAUGGUCAGCCUCACCUAGGGUUGGUGGAUGACAUAGUAUUUGGCAAGAUUCCAAGCUUGUCCAACAGGAUCACUUUUGAAGGAUACUAAGAGAAUACUAAGACACUUGAUGACGACAUCGACAUGACUCUACUCUAUCCAUCAGAAGUUUUUUUGUUUUUUUUUUGGAGGACUAUGGUGAUGUUUAUUAUUCUAGGUAUCAGGCUAAUACAAAUAAUAGAAAUGACUCAUUUUUUAGGCUAACAACUCUUUCACGGGGAACUAAAAGGAAAGAUUCAGUUGUUUUUUCAACACCUGAGGGAUAAUAUGUAGAAGAUGCAGCCUGAUUUGCCAAUAUUGUGGAUCAAGCCAUAUCUUUAAAAUAUUAGAAGACCUGGUCAAGAUAAACAAAUUUAUGUUGGGAUAUUGAAACUGAACUAAAUGGAUCCUUCCUAAAGAAAUCAACCAUCUCUUGACUAUUCAAAGGGAGUAGGUAUCCUUGUUUUUGAGUUAUGAUUUAGAAAAUUCAUUCCUAAAACUUUUGUAGGUAUACACACAUGGUACACUUUCUCAAGCAAACAUGAGUUCAAGAUAGAUCUAGGCAAUUAAACUCAACCUACAGAGACGGACAUGGUCUGUUCUCGAACGUUAGAACUCUUGAUAUUGCAGAUAUUGCAUUUUCAUUAAUACAUGAAAACUGUUGCAAUUGUCACAUGUCUGGUCGUUGUGCAAUUUUAGAAUAACAAGAUGAUACUUGUUUCCUAUCGAUACACCCUUCAUCUUCCCCUAUUGCUCCAUGUCUUUUUCCUUAUCCCUGGAAAACUCAAUUUCACAUCCAAUAAGAAAUUUUAAAAACCCUCUUUCUUCUUCUCUUAAAAAAAACUUCAAAUUCUUAUUGAUUUUUCUUGAGAAUUUUUCGAUUAAGAAAUUCGUUAGUGUGAAGAGUGACUAGCUCCAACAAUAAAAAGAAUAAGGUGCAAAAGAUGAUGUUCAAAAAGGUGAAGGGUUGAUACUAUGAGAAAUCAAAGUAUUCUUAAUAGGAGGGUGUUAUAUAUAUAUAUAUAUAUAUAUAUAAUGAAUGAAAUGGUCCCUUAGUUAUUAACCUAUUAAUCUUGGAGGUCUGAAGUAAGUUUGAGGUUACAAAUCCUUCUAUUACAAUGCGAGAAUACAUGCACAAGAUCAUUUCUACUAAUGAUGGUAAAUAUGGCAUGAGAUAUGAGUACUUUCUGACCUAGAAUGUGAACGUGUUGAUGGGAAGAGAAAAAAUAUAUUUCUAUGUUUUUGGUGGAACAGGAGAAACUCAAGCUUGCUUUUGAAGCUAUGACAGCUUGUGUUGCUAACAACGAUACUUAAAGAUUGUGUGUGAAGGCUCAACUUCUGUAAAUCACAAUCAGAGAGACCAGGUUGAGAAGAAUAGACAACCUGAAUAAUUAUCAUGAAGCCGAGGCAGCGAAGAAUGUUGAACUUUUUGUGAGAAAUUAUGAUGAGGAAAAUGCUCUCCUAAUCUUACAUUGUCCAUCUCUUGUUCCUAAGUCCUUCACUCUUGCUGAAUUCCCAUGUUCCUAAGCCCCUCACUCCUCCUAAACUCCCGUGUUAGUCCUCUUCGUUUUCUAUUGAAAUUCAGUGAGCAUUGUCUUAGUUCUCAGUCAUAAUGAUGUCUGCAAUGAUUUGAUGGUUGAUUUUUUGUUUUUGAAUGAAAAAAAAUUAUAUUAUUUCUUUUGACAUGUCUCAUAACUCUAUUAAUUUUUAGUCAUGCUAAGUGUUGCCGAAGUGGCCAUGAAUUUCCUUAAUCUACAUUUCUGGCAACAUGGUUUACUGCUUAAACUCUUUUUAUGACGUCAAAAGGGAGAAUAUUUUUAGGGUAUGAGAUCAAUGAUCACAUUGUCAUGCCGACAAGGGAAGCAGGGGUACUUUAAGAGUAAAUGGUCAUUCAUAUAGGAAGAAUAAGUGGUAUUUGAAGAGGAUAUGGUCAUGCUGAUAGGGGGAGAAGUUGAAAAAAAAUUGACAUUAUCAAAAGGUAGAAAAUGUUUUUUGAUUAUCGAUGUGAUGUUUUGGUGAUUUGAAAAACUUUGGCAAUGUUGUAUAAAGGGGACCAAUCUAGUUAUCUGAAGAGGCACGCUGAUAAGGGAACAUGUGAAAGAGGGAAAAAAGGUGAAUAAGUUUGUUAUCAUCAAAAAGAGGGAAAAUGUUACCUUUGAGCUGAUGGUAAUUUUUGAUUAUUUCACAAACUUAGAGAUUUAACAAAGAACUGUAUCAAAGAAAGGGUCCUCUGGUAUUGGACUGAGCAACGAGAAAUGAAUGAAUAAACUCAGCAUGAGAAAUAUUUGUGUCUUCAUAAUAAAGGGGGGAAAUAUUAUAUUCUUGCAUUUUGAUGACCCUCUCAAGUGCUGGCUCCUGGUCUUUGGCAGAGGACUUCCGUAUAGUUUUAAAGUUGUGCAAAGCUGUAAAGUUAGCUUUACAGCGGUAUUGUAAGGUUUGUUGGUGAGAUGUAUAGCAUAGUUCACUAAUAGGAAGAGUGGAUGAACUUGUUUGUUUUAGUGGUAAAAACCAUUGUGGGUAAUGGAUAUAUAUAUACAAACAUAAACAAACAACAACAUUCAUUUAAAAAGGGAGAAAGUUAGUAAGUCUUUUUCAAGAACUCAGACAUCAAAGAACGCAACAAGAGACUUUGUCCUGAAAAGUCUGCGAAUGAGGAAAGGACGAAAAGACAGUUUGUGAAUAGGCUAUGAACUUUGAUGUGGUUGAUUCACAACCUUUCAUGACAGCAGGCUUUCCGCCAAUGACCAUGUCCCAACGGUUUGUGUCAACUAUGAUAAUAGUCUCUUGUCAAAAACACAAGCCCUUGUUUUGGUAAAUAAAGAUGUGUAUUUUUUGAAAAUUCACAAGCUUAAACGAAAAGUCCAUUUUCAAAAAGUAUUAUCCUCAAGAGAAACAGGGACUUGAUAGAGCUCCAAGUUGUCUAGUUGUCUUAGGAUUAUAUCUUUCAUUCUACAUUGUACAUCUAUUCCUAGUCUAUUAAUGAAUUAGAUCGUUGUUUAGUUUGUCUAAAAGUUUAAGUCAAUUAAGGUAAAUUGAUUUAGCGGGCAACAUUACUGCUGCUUAAUCAAAUUCAAAGUCAUCUCGUGGUAGUUGAUUUAGUGGGAAAAGUGGUUGUUGCUUAAUAAAAAUACUAAGUCAUAUAGGUGGAAUGGUUUAGUGUGCAACACAGUCAUCUAGGUGGAAUGGUUUAGUGCGCAACACAGUUGUUUUUUAAUAAAAUUCUAAGUUAUAUAGAGGUGGGUAGGCUGGUGGGUAGGUCAGUGGGCAAUAUGUCAUUUCUUAGUUAAUUUCUUUAUAGUAGAUGUGCUACAUUGAGGGGGAAGAGAUUUAGAGGUAAAUUUCUAGGUUGAAAGCAUUGUAAUUUGAAUGAGUUCUCGGUUUGAGUUAUAUGAGGUUGUGUUAAAAAUCAUGUGAGAACAGGUCGUGGUUUUAACCUCCCUAUAGCAAUAGUGUUUCCAUGUAAAAUCAUUGUGUAGAUUUUACUUCCAACUAUAUACUUUCUGCAUUUAUUUCAAUUGAUGUUCUUUUUGAUUCAGGGGACCUGUUCCAUUGAUGUCAGUGGGCCGUACUACUAUGUGUGAUUAUAUUACAAUUCUUACCCUAUAAAAGCACAUGGUCCAUUGACUAUGAGUUGAUGCACACAUCCUAAUAUCCCACAAGAGGAUCAGGGGAGGAUAGGAUUCACUCUUACCUUUUAGGGGUACAGACAUUUCUUGUGACAGACCAUCGACUCAAAAGAAGUAAGAUAAAAGCAUAAUUGAAAGGAAAAUAAAGAGAAUACUAGUGAAAAUUGAAGAAUAAGAUACUACUAACUACAAACUAAACUGAAUCAUCAACAUAAUUAUAGGGUUGCGCUACCAUUGAAGAGGUGGAAGAAGUUUUUUUAGGGUUACCCCAAUACUAAAAUUGCUUAUUCUUCCCAACAAGUGUGAUUCUUCUUUUUCACAAGAGGGUUUUUGUUAGAAACAUGAGGAAAAUGAAAUGAAAGGUGUAAAUCAAGUCUUGCUUUUGUUUUUGGUGACACUUUGACCAAAAAGUGGUCCACUUUAAAAUGUAAUAAAGUAAAUCUAGAACCAAAUUAACAUUUUCAAAACUUUCUUAUUUUUUAUUAUAUAAAAUAAAAAAAACAGUUUAGUUUUAAAAUUGUAUAAUUCCAUCCUAACCAUAAUACAAAAGUAAAAGAAAAUAGAAUUUUCUCUUUUUCUUUAUCUCCCAACUCCCUCUCUUCUUCAUCCUUCGAAAAUUCGACCAUCAACAAAUAUAUUCCCAUUAUCUUCCUUAUCAUCUCAAACGGUCCGUCUCUCUUUAUUAGUUGAAGAUCAUUUUCACUUGAAAAUGGGUAGGUCUUUUUUUGAAAUAUUUACAAUUUUGUAACAAUACAUUCUUGAUCAUAAGUUUUUUUCUUGGGUUAAUGAACAAUAAAUCGUUCUGUCAAUGUGAAAAUUUAUUAUUGAUGUAUUAUAGCUAUUAUUUACUCCCUCCUUUUUAAAAUGAAUGACCCUAUUUCCUUUAAGAAUGACACCUUUCCUUUUUUGGUAACACCUUAAUUUUAACUUUUCACGUGACAUUUUUAAGACCAUAAAAUAAAAGAGUAUUUUGGUACAUUUGACAUACCUUGUAUUUAUAACCACAAGAAUAAAAAGUCUUCUUUCUUUUCUUAAACUCCGUUGCAAGUCAAACGAGUUCAUUUUUUUGAAACGGAGGGAGUUCUGUUUUUCAAAAAAAAUUAACAAACCCAAAAAACCCUGAUUUUAAGAAAAUGUAUAUCUAUUAUUGUUGUUCACUGAAAAUUUGUUGUUUUUUGUUUUUGUUAUUCCUUUUUUUGACAUAUUAUAUUCAUAUGAGUUUACAAAAAUAAUCUUGUUGUGUUGUCCAACAUAUAUUUCAUUUGUUGAAAGAUGUAUCGUAUGUUGAAACAUGUUAGUGAUAUGUUUGUACAUAUUCCAAAAGAGUUGUCAUAUGUUGGAAGAUGUCACCUAUGUGUUAGAGUAACAAAAUGGUUAUCUGUAACAACAUGUUACACAUUGUGACAACAAAAGAUUCAUCUACAUCAAUAAAGGUACAUAUGUGGCAACAAAAUGUCCAUAUGUGUUAACAUAAGUAUAAAUUGCCACCAAUUAUUAUUUUAGGGAUAAUGCCCAAGUACCCCCUCAACCUAUGCCCGAAAUCUCAGAGACACACUUAUACUAUACUAAGGUCCUAUUACCCCCUGAACUUAUUUUAUUGAUAAUUUUUUACCCCUUUUUAGCUUACGUGACACUAUCUUGUGGGUCCAACGAUGAUUGACUUUUUUUUCGAACUAGUGCCACGUAGGCUAAAAAGGGGUAGAAAAUUACAUAUAAAAUAAGUUCAGGGGGGUAAUAGGACCUUAGUAUAGUAUAAGUGUGUCUCUGGGAUUUCGGGCAUAGGUUGAGGGGGUACUUGAGUAUUUUCCCAUUAUUUUAUAAUAAGUUGUAAACUCUAAACAUUUUUUUAUUUACCUUGUAGAUCAAAUGACACCCGAAGAUUCAUCUAUGACAACAACUCAAUCUUUUGUUGGUGAUGAAUCAUCUUUUAAUAUUAAAUGCUCUUUUAUGAUUUGAAGAAUGUGAGCAACGAUAUGAUUUUUUUAUUACUUGUGUUAAAGAAC
This 7929-nucleotide long non-coding RNA is filed under the name Solanum lycopersicum (tomato). Its description in RNAcentral is "long non-coding RNA (SLYC_LNC000638)". Lineage: Eukaryota; Viridiplantae; Streptophyta; Magnoliopsida; Solanales; Solanaceae. The record is from RNAcentral.